AGAUAAGAAUAAAAGCAGGCUGCCUGAGGUCGCGGUGGUAACGUGUUCCGGCGUCCUUCCACGCUGUAGUGGCUUACGUUGUUUUGCUGUUUGGGGUUUGCACUCUUUUUGAGCUGUAACACGGCAAAGGUUUGCAGCUUCGCUCCUGAAAUCAUCGAGACCACAAACCCACCGGGAAGAACGAACAACUCCAAACGCACCACUUUAAGAGCUGUAAUACUCGUCGGGAAGGUGUACAGCUUCACUCCUGAGUCAGCGAGACCACGAACCCAUCAGAAGGAAAAAACUCCAAACAUCAGAAGGAACAAGUUUCAGACACGCCACCUUUAAGAACUGUGACACUCACCGCGAGGGUCCGCGGCUUCAUUCUUGAAGUCCGUGAGACCAAGAACCUACCAAUUCCGAAUACGUUGGGUUCAAGUGCUUCUCCUGUCUCAGACUCCCGAGUAGCUGGGAUUACAGGCGCCCACCACGCCCAGGUAAUUGUAUGACAAUGGAGAGGUGAUUACUGCGCUGAAAAUCAGUUUCCUGAAGUGAAAAAGGGAAUCAAGUUACGUCGCAGAGCCUGGCGUGAGCGGCGCUCAGUCAACACCAGCUCUUCAUGGGUUGUGGUUUCCUCCAGUUCCUGGAUGUGCGGAGUUCAUCCUCCAUUGACUGGCGCCCCGAUUGACAAUGAGGUCUGAUGGUCCAGCUCUGCAUCGGUGUGCUUGUCCUAAAGGAAAACGAAGUGAGAGCUUCCUGCUAGAACAGCCCCACAGUCCUGCCAGCAGUUGUCAUCUGGAUCUGUCAUAUUUUGCCUCUAUUAACAUCUGAUGUCACUGAUCUCACAAAAGAUGGAGAACAGAUGUCCUUCCCGCUGUUGUGUAUUCUCUCACCCUCACUUUCUAUCAGUUUUUCCUUCCAGAAGACAUAAGAGGAUGAUGAGCUACAGGAAACAAACCGAGUCUUAUACACCUAAAAUUGGGUUCAGGUGCCUUUGUUUCUUGCUUGCCCUCUCAAAUAGUUGAAAGCUAUAGGCUCAGCUAGGAUGGCAUGUUCCAAUGUGGGAACUCAGGGGAAAUUUCUGGCUUUUUCCUUUCUCUUCUCAGCAUUUAUUAGUCCCACUAAUAACAGCUUCUGGAGACUCAUUUAGGAAGCACAGCAUCUCCUCUCUUGGACCAAGAGGUGACACACCUUCAGCUCAGGGGUGUGUGAAUGACCAGCCUGGCCAUCAGUUGAUCCAAUCCCUGGUGCGACAGCAUUUUCUUCAGGAAUGGGCACAUGCCCUAGUUAAUCCAAUCAGAGCUAAUACUUUGACUGUUACCGGGGAGAUUGGAAGGAAGUUGUUGGCAGUCCUUUGUGCUGCUCUUAUAGUUUAAAGAUGAAAGACUGGAGCUUCCAGAGACCGCAUGGAGAGCUCCUGUUUGAGUAUGAAACGUACACAGAUGAAAGUGGAGCCAGGGCAUGGGGAAAGAAAGAGAGGCAGAGAGAUAGAGAUAGAGAUCCAUAGACAGGUGGACAGAUAGAGAGGGAUAAGCUUAAAACCAACUCUCCUACUAGCCUUUUUCCAUCACAUGAUUGAACAAUUCCCCUGUUUUACUUAUGUUACUUUGAGUUGAAUCUUCAUUAAUUUGCAAUUCUAAGAGUUAUGACUAAUAAAUGUGUGCUCACAGCCAUCUGGGUCCCAAGC
Pan troglodytes (chimpanzee) is the source of this 1669-nucleotide long non-coding RNA. RefSeq lists it as uncharacterized. Lineage: Eukaryota; Metazoa; Chordata; Mammalia; Primates; Hominidae. The record is from RefSeq and is a predicted model, not a curated record. The transcript has 3 exons.